Molecule: ribosomal RNA, 440 nt
Filed under: uncultured bacterium
Lineage: Bacteria
Description: partial 16S ribosomal RNA
Rfam family: Bacterial small subunit ribosomal RNA
Source: RNAcentral
CCUACGGGUGGCAGCAGUGGGGAAUAUUGCACAAUGGGGGAAACCCUGAUGCAGCGACGCCGCGUGAGUGAGGAAGUAUUUCGGUAUGUAAAGCUCUAUCAGCAGGGAAGAAAAUGACGGUACCUGAUUAAGAAGCCCCGGCUAACUACGUGCCAGCAGCCGCGGUAAUACGUAGGGGGCAAGCGUUAUCCGGAUUUACUGGGUGUAAAGGGAGCGUAGACGGACUUGUAAGUCUGAUGUGAAAGUCCUGGGCCCAACCCCGGGACUGCAUUGGAAACUGUAUAUCUAGAGUGUAGGAGAGGAAAGUGGAAUUCCUGGUGUAGCGGUGAAAUGCGUAGAUAUCAGGAGGAACACCAGUGGCGAAGGCGGCUUGCUGGACGAUGACUGACGUUGAGGCUCGAAAGCGUGGGGAGCGAACAGGAUUAGAUACCCGAGUAGUC